RNAcentral lists this long non-coding RNA (1267 nucleotides) under Scophthalmus maximus (turbot). RNAcentral's name for it is "lncRNA (ENSSMAG00000036892.1)". The record is from RNAcentral. Lineage: Eukaryota; Metazoa; Chordata; Actinopteri; Pleuronectiformes; Scophthalmidae.
UUUGGGUAAUAGAGAAUUGAUUCUGAGAAAAUUGGUGACAAAUAUGUAGUUAAGCCAUCCAUAAGCACAAAAAUGAACCAAUCAUCUUCCUUUUAUUCUGUAGACAAUACUUCAAGAUGCACCGGAACAGAUUUGGGACGGAAGACUGGGUCGAUAUCAAGUGGCAGCCUGGAACAAUAUCCCAUACCUUCCAGAAGGAUGGCACCAGUUGUGGGAUCUUUGUGAUGCAGAUGGCCAAGAUGACGGUGAUGGGAUUUCCAAACAUGCCACAGAUCUUUCACAUUGACCCACAGAAAAAAUCUCUUCAAAAACUUAGAAGAAAUUCUGAAAGGAUCAGGUACUGUUUAAAAUAUUUGAUUAAGGGGAUGAAUACUGCCUUGAAACUCAACAGUAAUGCUCUUUUUAAAUCUUUCAGUUUCAAGCGAAGAGUUCUGCUCCUUCUGUGGUAACAAGGACCUGCCUAUUGAUGCUGUUUGGGCAAUACAUGAUCUGAAUGGUGGAUUAUACAUAGGCUGGAUUCAAUUUCAGUGAUAAAAUAUAUGUAAUCAGGUAGUGUGUACUUUAAUGCAAUGGAAAUUAAAAUUUUCUUAAUGUUAUUAAUAUUUGAAAACUUUAUAUUUAUCCCCAUGUAGAUUCAGUGUGGAACCUGUACACGGUGGUUUCACACGCAUUGCCUGGGAAUGACAGCAGCACAAAUACCAAGCAAGGAUACCCCGUGGUUUUGUGUGCUGUGCAACUAAGGACACUGUUGUGUGUUGGGUAACUCGUACCAGGGAAAGGGAAAUUACUUUUCUACAACAAGCUUGUAGGAGGGGCUUCUACACCAGACAUUAAUCCUUCUAAGAAGUAGUAGUUCAGAAAAUAUUAGAUGUGUGAAUCCUGUAUGUUAUCCUGUAUGUAUUUUAUUCCUUAUAAUUGAGCUCAAGUUUAUUUUUUGUCCAAAAUGAGAGCUGUAGUGUGACCAUGGGAAGGUCAUCUAUGUGUGGUGUGAUUUUUGUAAAUCUGCAAUGUACAGUAGCGAAGUUAUUAAAAUGAUUUAAAAUAAAAAUUCACCAAAAUUGUCUAAAAGCAUUUGUUUUUCAAAAUGAGAGGUGUAGUGUGACCAUGGGAAGGUCAUCUUUGUUUGAGGUGAUUUUGGUGAUUCUGCAUAGUACAGUAGCGAAGUAAUUAAAAUGAUUUCAAAUAAAAAUUUACCAAAAUUAUCCAAAAGCAUUUGUUGUCCAAAAUAAGAGGUGUAGUAUGACCAUGGGAAGGUUAUCUUUGUUCG